CUCUCAUAUGGAGCGUUCAUAUUGCUUCGGUCGAAAUUGGACAAAUCAUGCGAAGGAUAUAACGAGCAAUUUUAUAAAAUAAAUUUGUCGUAAUCUUUUACGGUUGCGAAGAAGUCGUGGACACAAGAAAAACAGUGUUUGGGGAGAUAACUCCUACAAAGAAAAGUAUUCGGUUACGCAGGGUAAAUUUCAAAAGCGCAUAAACUGUUCGAUAUCAUAUACCAAA
This 226-nucleotide long non-coding RNA is filed under the name Mytilus galloprovincialis (Mediterranean mussel). Lineage: Eukaryota; Metazoa; Mollusca; Bivalvia; Mytilida; Mytilidae. The record is from RNAcentral.